This 482-nucleotide long non-coding RNA is filed under the name Salvia miltiorrhiza (redroot sage). Its description in RNAcentral is "long non-coding RNA (SMIL_LNC013600)". The record is from RNAcentral. Lineage: Eukaryota; Viridiplantae; Streptophyta; Magnoliopsida; Lamiales; Lamiaceae.
AGAGCCAGAGCAGAGCAAACUUCCAGAGCCAGAGGAGAGCAAACUUUCAGAGCUGAAAGUCUAGAGCAGAGCAGAGAUGUUUUCCAGAGCUGGCGUUCAGAGGAGAACAGAGCCAAGCUCGCGCCAGAACAGAAUGCCAGGGCAGAGCAGAAUAAAAUGCCAGAGCAGAGCAGAACGGAAUGCUAGAGCAGAGCAAAACAUAGUGCCAGAGCAGAUCAUAACAGAUUGCCAGAGCUGAGCAGAAUUCCAGAGCCAAAGCAGAGCAUGUUUUCCAGAGCUGGCGUCUGGUAAGCUAAGUUCCAGAGCUGACUGAAGUCCAGAGCAGAGCUAAGUUCCAGAGUUAUCAAAACUUGCCGAACAAGUUUCUUUUAAGUUUCCUUUGUUUUAAGUUGUUUCUUUAAUUAGAAUUAGGUUUAGUUUUUGCCUGCUGCAUGUCAACGAAUUAAUUAACCUUUGAUUUAUAAAAUUUGUAAGUUUUAUUC